UCAAACUCCAAGUGAAUAUGACUCUUCUACAGUCACUACUCAUUUUUCCUGUUCAUCUCCCAUUUGAUUAUGGGCAACUUAAUUUAUCUUAGUGCCCCAGUGGACACUGACAAAUAGUAGGCAGUCAAUGAAUAUGGACAGAAGAAAGGAAGAGAGGAUGAGAAGGAAAGGAGAGAGGGAAGGGAUAGAGGUACAGAGGAGCUUAGCAUGAUGAGAGCAUGUGUACAGAAAUAAAUGAAACAAAAAUCAAAUGAACAGCAUGACCUGGCUCAAGAGACAGCAGAAAUGCCCAGAAAAUUGUGUGGAACCUCUGAAGAAUGCAAUGGGCUCAGCUCAAUGGUGAAGACGUCUCCUAUGUCCCUUGUGGCCAAGACAAACCAGGCAAACCUGAGGCUGGACACACAGAAGAGAUAUUUUUCUCCUCUCUUUCCUGCAUCUUCAAACUUUCUAACUUCCUCUUAUAUGAAGGCACCUAGACUUAGUGCUGGAAGUGGCCUCUUUAUCUGCCAUGGAGAUAUAUGGUUUGGUCGUCAGUUUGGCCACCUGUCUUGCCUCUGGAACAUGAUACAUAGCUGGAUUCUCAGACUCUGCACCUCUUUUGGAGAAUCUAUUUUCUACAAGCAGUCAUUGCGGAGGGGAGGAAGGUUACAGAAGCAGGUACACAUUAAUUCUGCUCAAUUUGGAGCCUGAGAAAGAUGAUUGAUGGCAACUCAGCUGCCCUCUGGCUCUCACUCCUGGAGCUUAACCUUUACAUAUGGAUACUAAACAGGCCUGGUGCAAUCUUGGUGAGCCUCUCAGUGAAUAUUUUCUUACUCAGAAUAAUCAAAUUUUAAGAAUGUGCUACAGGAAAAAGCUGUCACAUUGCAUUAGGUUAGCACUGUGACUUCAUGGAAAUGGUCAGGUAACUCAAUUGCCCCAGCCCAAUA
RNAcentral lists this long non-coding RNA (926 nucleotides) under Rhinopithecus bieti (black snub-nosed monkey). Its description in RNAcentral is "lncRNA (ENSRBIG00000045773.1)". Lineage: Eukaryota; Metazoa; Chordata; Mammalia; Primates; Cercopithecidae. The record is from RNAcentral.